CCUUCCACCUUCCAUCGUGGAUACAAUACGGUAGCGCGACCUAUGAGAAAGGCCUUUCAGCCAUCUUGGAUUUUGAAUGUAAACAUUCUGCAAUAUUUUGCAAUAUCUUUUUUUUUGCUCUUUGUGUGUGGAAUUGUUUUGUGGGAAUAAGAACAUUGAAACGUUGAAAGCUUAAGAGAAUAAAUCGACUUUCGGUGUCGGUCGGUGAUGAAGCUCAAGCACUGAAACAAGCGGCGGAUUCAAAGAUUACAUUCCAGCGAUUGCACGCUCUCACUAUUGUUAGCUACGAUGCGAAGCACGCAAAGAAAGGUAUUGCAAAGGCUCAUUCCGCUGUAGGUUCGGAGCCAGCCAAUGAGGCGAAAACUGAGCAGCCACGGGGGAGCAGUGCCGAUAAGGAGAAUUAGCAUGAAUGUGGGAAAAGUAAAAAGCCUUCGAAGGAACAGGAAUCUGCUUCAAAUAAAAUGGAUCUGGACAAGAAACACAAGCGCAAUGGGUUGUCGGAAAAUGACCCUGUUGCAUCGUAUCAUGUAUAUAAAAAAGAAUAGGAACAAAAAUCGUCUACCAGGAGAAAACAACCAUUCGGAGCUUAGAUGGAGAGUGCGAAACAAACUGUUUGGUGAAAAGUAAUCAUCUCUUACAACAUUCCGCCAUUGACUGCCAAAUUCCAUCCAAAAUGAGCGAUUUGUGAUUUGGCGUUUCUAGCAUAAGUAGAACGACUGA
Molecule: long non-coding RNA, 720 nt
Organism: Toxorhynchites rutilus septentrionalis
Lineage: Eukaryota; Metazoa; Arthropoda; Insecta; Diptera; Culicidae
Exons: 4
Source: RefSeq, a predicted model, not a curated record